AUUGAACGCUGGCGGCAUGCUUUACACAUGCAAGUCGAACGGUAACAGGCCGCAAGGUGCUGACGAGUGGCGAACGGGUGAGUAAUGCAUCGGAACGUGCCCAGUCGUGGGGGAUAACUACUCGAAAGAGUAGCUAAUACCGCAUACGAUCUAUGGAUGAAAGCGGGGGACCGUAAGGCCUCGCGCGAUUGGAGCGGCCGAUGUCAGAUUAGGUAGUUGGUGGGGUAAAGGCUCACCAAGCCAACGAUCUGUAGCUGGUCUGAGAGGACGACCAGCCACACUGGGACUGAGACACGGCCCAGACUCCGACGGGAGGCAGCAGUGGGGAAUUUUGGACAAUGGGGGCAAGCCUGAUCCAGCAAUGCCGCGUGCAGGAAGAAGGCCUUCGGGUUGUAAACUGCUUUUGUACGGAACGAAACGGCUCUGGUUAAUACCCGGGGCUAAUGACGGUACCGUAAGAAUAAGCACCGGCUAACUACGUG
Molecule: ribosomal RNA, 482 nt
Filed under: uncultured bacterium
Lineage: Bacteria
Description: partial 16S ribosomal RNA
Rfam family: Bacterial small subunit ribosomal RNA
Source: RNAcentral